GUAGCUGCUCUUCUCAGCGUACUUAUCAGCUUGCAGUGCACCCACCUGCUGCAGAAUCCUCUCCCGCUUCAUCUGAUACUCUUUCAGCUCAGCUCGGUACAUCUCUUUCCUGUUCUUAACCACAGCCAAGAGACUAAACCGGAUCUCGUUCUGGAGAUACCGGUCAAUCCUCUCUUGCACCACAGGUUGGACCAUUUUGAGCCACUCGAUUCCUUCUGGCUCACCGAGACAUUGUCCAAGGCUGAUGGGUCCUUCUUUAAGACCAUCUAGCUCGUAUAAGAUACCAUCGACAGGUAAGUAGCUGAUGUAGUGAUACACAUCAUCAUCAUCCUCUUCCUUUUUCUUCCUCCUAGCAGAUAACUCAUCCUCGUCCGUGGUGGUGGAAGAUGAGUCAGGCCUAGCAAAGGUGUUGUGAGCCGCACGUAUCGCCUCGUUGUUGCUGAUGGCUAAACCUUUGAGCUCAGGUGGGAAGUCUUUAGCGAACUCUUUCAGUUCAGACAGUUCAGAACCGAUCUCGAUACCCGAGGAGUUCAUGAGGACAGACAGUAAGGCUUGUGUAGCACAAGCAUUUGACGCGUUAACUGCUGUAGCAGUGGUUGAUGAGCUUGAUCCGAAGGAGGUUCUUGAGUUGUUUCUCGACUCGAGGAAGACUUGGGUUCUGCAAAAGUUGAAUGCUUGUAGUGGUGAUGAUGCUGGGAGUGUUGUUUCGGUGUUUUGUGAUGUGUUGAGUGUGGUUCAGGUUACUGUGGGACAAGUCGGUGAGCUUUUUUUGCAAGCGUUGACUGAUAUGCCUCUGUUUUAUAAGACGAUUUUGAGCACCCCUCCGGCUUCUCAGCUGUUUGGUGGGAUUCCGAAUCCGGAAGAGGAGGUUGCGCUGUGGAAAUUGUUUAGAGAUAAUUUGGAAUCUGUUAUGGUUAUCUUUGAUAAAGUUGAUAUUUCUAAGGCGUGCCUGACUUGGUUGAGGGAAUGCGGUGGAAAGAUUGUUGGUAAGGUUAGUGGGAAGCGUUUGAUUGAAGCUAUUGUUACUGGUGCGGAGCUUGGAUCAGCGGAGAAGUUGAUCAGAGAGACCAUGGAUAGUAAAGAGGUAUUGAGUGGUAGUUUAGAUUGGCUUAAAAGUGUUUUUGGGUCUGAGAUAGAGCUGCCUUGGAAUAGAAUCCGGGAGCUUGUUCUAGCAGACGAUUUGAACCUAUGGGAUGAAAUAUUUGAGGAGGCAUUUGUGGAAAGAAUGAAAUCCAUUAUUGACUCUAGAUUUGAGGAUUUGGCUAAAGCUGUCAAUGUGGCAGAGUUGGUUCAUGCUUAUAGCGAGAUCACUGGUGAGAAGAUCAACUUCCAAGCAUACUUAAACAGACCUUCUACAGGUGGUGGUGUCUGGUUCAUCGAGCCUAACGCUAGGAAACCUGGUUUUAUUGCCGGAAACAAAAUGUCACCUGAAGAAAGCGACUUCCAAAGUUGUCUAACGGCGUACUUUGGUCCUGAAGUUAGCCAAAUCAGAGAUGCAGUUGAUCACCGCUGCCAGAAUGUUUUAGAAGACCUCCUAAGCUUCUUUGAGUCAGAAAAGGCAGGUCCGAGGUUAAAGGAUCUUGCUCCAUACGUACAGAGUAAAUGUUAUGACAGUGUCUCAGCACUUCUCGCAGAUGUAGAUAAGGAACUCGAAUCUCUCUGCGCUGCCAUGAAGAAAGGAAACAACGACAGCGAAGCAAUUCCACCUGCUAUAAUAAUUGAGAAAUCGCUUUUUAUGGGACGCCUUUUGUUUGCAUUGCUAAACCACUCAAAACACCUUCCCUUGAUUCUCGGUUCUCCAAGGUUGUGGUGUAGAGACAUUAUGACUGCAGUUUCUGAUAAGUUGUCAUCCUUGUUGAGACAACCAAGAUUUGGCUCGAAUACUGCAGGGACUCCUGACAGCCCUGGAAAGCUGUUGCAUACCGAUCUUAGGAAGCAGAGUUCGUUAGCUGUUGCGGCACUACUUAAGGCAGACGAGAAGACAAGUCCAAAAUUCGAAGAGCUUAAUAAAACUAUGCGAGAUAUGUGCAUUAAGGCUCAUACAUUGUGGAUACAGUGGUUAUCGGAUGAGCUCUCCGCUAUUCUCUUGCGGGAUCUUAGGAUUGACGAUGGACUGUCUGCUACAACUCCUUUAAGGGUAACUAAAAGCUGAUUCUUAUCCUUAUUUUUCUUAGUUGUCGUCUCUCUCCUGCAUUGAUAUUAGAUAUUGCUGACUAAUAUUCAUAGUUAGUUGUUCGCUUUCUUUGUUUUUGGUGGAAAUAUUUCCAGGAACUACUUUAUAUCUUGAUUCUUUGAAGUUCAAUGAGAUAGUUUAGUCUUGCUCUUUUGUUGUGUCUGAACUCAUCUUUGAAGUGAUAAUGCAGGGUUGGGAGGAGACAAUAGUCAAGGAAGAGCAGGGCGAGAGUGAGUUGAAGAUAUCACUUCCGUCCUUGCCUUCGCUCUAUAUAAUUUCAUUUCUCUGUCGGGCAUCAGAAGAGAUUCAUCGAAUUGGAGGCCACGUACUGGAUAAGUCAAUUUUGCAAAAGUUUGCUUCAAGCCUGUUGGAGAAGGUGCGUUGUCUUGUCUCUGUUUACUUACUUUCCUGUGAUUAUUUUCUACAUGCUGCAGAAGUGUUUCUGGCAAGGAACAAUGUUCUAUUAAAAAUAUUUGUGAUAGUUAUUCCCUUCUUCACACUUGUUCCCUUUCAUCAGUAAAUAUCUCCAAGCUAGUGAUUGCUUAUAAAAAUGAUUUUUUUUUCAAUGUUCCAUUGUACAAUGCAGAUCAUCAUUAUUUAUGAGGAUUUCUUAUCUGCCAGGGAGGCCAACGAACCCCAAAUUUCAGAGAAGGGGGUUUUACAAAUUUUACUGGAUUUGAGAUUUGCAUCGGACAUUCUUUCUGGGGGUGAUACAAGCACCAAUGUGGAGAUACAACCAAAGAUCACAAUGAACAGAUCAGCUUUCAGGCGAAAGCAGGGCCAACAGCAAACAAAGUCAGUCAACAGAGGUCGCAUUGAUGGAGUAAUCUCCCAACUGACCCAAAAGUUGGAUCCCAUAGACUGGCUCACGUAAGGAACCUUAUUCAUAAACUCUGAACAUGUCACAUGUUUACUAUUUUGUCCGUUCUAAGAAAUUCAUGGGAAUCUUGUGGUCUUAUCGUUUACUGUCUCAAUUAUUUUCUGAUUCUAGUAUAUUUUGAAAUGUGUCAAAAAAAGGUACGAGCCUUAUCUCUGGGAGAACGAAAAGCAGUCAUACCUACGCCACGCAGUACUAUUUGGAUUCUUUGUGCAACUAAACCGAAUGUACACAGAUACUUCCCAGAAACUACCAAGUAACUCAGAGUCAAAUAUCAUGCCAUGCUCCACAGUUCCCCGCUUCAAAUACCUUCCCAUAAGGUAAGCUUUUCUUCUUCCACACCUGAAACUAUUUGUAGCCUUGUGGGAAAAAUGGUUUCUCAUAUCCGGUUAAUGCAGCGCUCCGGCUCUGUCCUCUAGAAGUACAAAUAAGGUCUCCACUCCAGUUACAUCAAAUGAAAGUUCGUCAAGAAACUCAUGGAAUGCAUUUACAAAUGGCGAGCUUUCUCAAACAAGUGAUUUGGAAGAUGACUCCAGUUUCGGCGUGGCUUCCCCGUUCUUAAAGUCUUUCAUGCAGGUACAGUCUAGUCUCCUCGGUUGAUCAGUGGCUCAAUAGUUUUUCAUAAUUUGUUCAAUAUCGUAAGAUCAUGUAAUAUAUGUUUCAGGCUGGUAGUAGAUUUGGGUCAAUACUAAGUGACGGACAAGUUGGAAUAUUCAAGGAUAGGUCAGCAGCCGCUAUGUCGACAUUUGGUGAUAUAAUACCAUCUCAAGCAGCCGGUUUACUCUCUUCUUUCACAACCACAAGGUACGAGUGAUGAUGAUGAUCUUCGGUUUUGUGACUAAACCUAUGAUGAUUGCAGCAGCUGAGAUAUCUGCCAUUAAAGAAGUUUUUACAUAAACGAAGAGUACAAGUUUUGUAAUUGUGUUCGAUUUAUUGUUUCAUGUAAUUAAGAGAUUUGGUUCUACAAAAAUCCUCAAGACUGAUACAAUCAAACCCUCAUACAUAUAAAGUUUUAAUAUCCUUGCAAAAAACUGAUUAAGGUAUUAACGUCUAGCUUUCUCAAUGAGAGGCUUGAGCUUCUUCUUGUCUGCAAGAAUCUUGAGGAAGUUGAAGAGGAAAGGGACAUAGUUAUGUUUCCUCCUCAAGUUCUCUUUCUUCCAGUUCUUAGCCCUCUCUUCCUCCAUUACAAUCUUCUGCGACACUGUCUCGAUGCCGACAUUGACUUCAGAAAGAGAUUUAUCCAGAGCCUCGUAACUGCUCUUCUCGGCGUACUUAUCAGCUUGCAGUGUACCCACCUGCUGCAGAAUCCUCUCCCGCUUCAUCUGAUACUCUUUCAGCACAGCUCGGUACAUCUCUUUCCUGUUCUUAACCACAGCCAAGAGACUAAACCGGAUCUCGUUCUGGAGAUACCGGUCAAUCCUCUCUUGCACCACAGGUUGGACCAUUCUGAGCCAUUCGAUUCCGUCUGGCUCACCGAGACAUUGUCCAAGGCUGAUGGGUCCUUCUUUAAGACCAUCUAGCUCGUAUAAGAUACCAUCGACGGGUAAGUAGCUGAUGUAAUGAUACACAUCAUCAUCUUCCUCUU
RNAcentral lists this long non-coding RNA (4635 nucleotides) under Brassica napus (rape). Its description in RNAcentral is "long non-coding RNA (BNAP_LNC012735)". Lineage: Eukaryota; Viridiplantae; Streptophyta; Magnoliopsida; Brassicales; Brassicaceae. The record is from RNAcentral.